CUGGCGCCGCUCAGACUGCUUGCGAGCUCAACAGCCAUGAAACCAGGGAUCAACAACUACCUUCGCGUGCCCUAUGUGCAUAUCACUCGACUCUGAGAUAAACCUGCUCAACUCCUCUUUUUUUGAGUCUCUCGAUCGAAUUGAUAUCUCUGACUUGGACACCUUUAUUGGUACGAGUUCCCCGAAUUCUUCACCACCAGUGCUUGUGCGAUCCACAGGAAAGAAUAUUCGUCUCUCCACACGGGACAGACAGCAUUUGCUCUCUACGCUAGAUCGCCCUGCUUCAUCUGGCCCCAGUUC
Non-coding RNA from Maylandia zebra (zebra mbuna), 300 nucleotides. The record is from RefSeq and is a predicted model, not a curated record. Lineage: Eukaryota; Metazoa; Chordata; Actinopteri; Cichliformes; Cichlidae.